RNAcentral lists this ribosomal RNA (771 nucleotides) under uncultured bacterium. RNAcentral describes it as "bacterial SSU rRNA". It matches the Rfam family "Bacterial small subunit ribosomal RNA", at positions 8 to 771 of the family's 1533-position model. The record is from RNAcentral.
AGAGUUUGAUCCUGGCUCAGAUUGAACGCUGGCGGCAGGCUUAACACAUGCAAGUCGAGCGGAAACGAAGGUAGCUUGCUACCAGGCGUCGAGCGGCGGACGGGUGAGUAAUGCUUAGGAAUCUACCGAGUAGUGGGGGAUAGCCAUUGGAAACGAUGAUUAAUACCGCAUAUAUCCUACGGGGGAAAGCAGGGGACCUUCGGGCCUUGCGCUAUUCGAUGAGCCUGAGUGAGAUUAGCUAGUUGGUGGGGUAAAGGCCUACCAAGGCGACGAUCUCUAGCUGGUCUGAGAGGAUGAUCAGCCACACUGGGACUGAGACACGGCCCAGACUCCUACGGGAGGCAGCAGUGGGGAAUAUUGCACAAUGGACGAAAGUCUGAUGCAGCCAUGCCGCGUGUGUGAAGAAGGCCUUCGGGUUGUAAAGCACUUUCAGCGAGGAGGAAAGGUCAGUAAGUAAUAUUUGCUGGCUGUGACGUUACUCGCAGAAGAAGCACCGGCUAAUUUAGUGCCAGCAGCCGCGGUAAUACUAAAGGUGCAAGCGUUAAUCGGAAUUACUGGGCGUAAAGCGCGCGUAGGUGGUUUGUUAAGUUGGGAUGUGAAAGCCCAGGGCUCAACCUUGGAACUGCAUUCAAAACUGACUCACUAGAGUACGAGAGAGGUUAGUGGAAUUUCCUGUGUAGCGGUGAAAUGCGUAGAGAUGGGAAGGAACACCAGUGGCGAAGCGACUGACUGGCUCGAUACUGACACUGAGGUGCGAAGCGUGGGGAGCAA